This 254-nucleotide ribosomal RNA is filed under the name uncultured bacterium. RNAcentral describes it as "partial 16S ribosomal RNA". It matches the Rfam family "Bacterial small subunit ribosomal RNA", at positions 524 to 776 of the family's 1533-position model. The record is from RNAcentral.
UACGGGGGGGGCAAGCGUUGUUCGGAAUUACUGGGCGUAAAGGGCUCGUAGGCGGCCAACUAAGUCAGACGUGAAAUCCCUCAGCUUAACUGGGGAACUGCGUCUGAUACUGGAUGGCUAGAGUGUGGGAGAGGGAUGCGGAAUUCCAGGUGUAGCGGUGAAAUGCGUAGAUAUCUGGAGGAACACCGGUGGCGAAGGCGGCAUCCUGGACCACGACUGACGCUGAGUGAGCGAAAGCCAGGGGAGCAAACGGG